GAUGAACGCUAGCGGCAGGCCUAACACAUGCAAGUCGAGGGAGAAGCCCUUUCGGGGGCAGAAACCGGCGCACGGGUGCGUAACGCGUAUGCAACCUACCUUUCACAGGGGGAUAGCCCGAAGAAAUUUGGAUUAAUACCCCAUAAUAUUAUUGGAUGGCAUCAUUUGAUAAUUAAAACUGCGGUGGUGAAAGAUGGGCAUGCGUCCUAUUAGCUAGUUGGAGUGGUAACGGCACCCCAAGGCUACGAUAGGUAGGGGUCCUGAGAGGGAGAUCCCCCACACUGGUACUGAGACAGGGACCAGACUCCUACGAGAGGCAGCAGUGAGGAAUAUUGGUCAAUGGUCGGAAGACUGAACCAGCCAUGCCGCGUGCAGGAAGAAUGCCUUAUGGGUUGUAAACUGCUUUUAUAUGGGAAGAAUAAGGCGUACGUGUACGUUGAUGACGGUACCAUAUGAAUAAGCAUCGGCUAACUCCGUG
RNAcentral lists this ribosomal RNA (478 nucleotides) under uncultured bacterium. RNAcentral describes it as "partial 16S ribosomal RNA". It matches the Rfam family "Bacterial small subunit ribosomal RNA", at positions 28 to 507 of the family's 1533-position model. The record is from RNAcentral.